ACCAGACCUUUUUACAGGAUCACUACUUCAACAAAACCACUUUAUCUGGGCUGCUACCACCACCCUAACUAGUGGAGUGUCAGAUUAUAUCUCAGACUUGGAGUCUCUCAGUGGUUUUGCUUUCGAACCAUUUCAACAGGAAACCUUUGUACCUGCACCAGAGAGGUGUGUGGCUUUGGAGAAGAGGAUCCAGUGUGUGCUGGAUGCACAGCUCAGAACGUGGAUCCCUGUCUUGGGGUGCCUUUAUGAUGUGUCCCCAUUGUCUGUUCUGUUGGUGUUGGAUAUUGAGUUCUGCAGCUUUCAGGCUGGUUCCAGGAGCAAAGGGGGAGAGGAGAGGUGCAGAGUUUGUUACCAGAGACAGCACUUGCUCCCCCCAUCCUUCACACAGACUGUGCUGGCAGUGGACAGCAGGACAGAGCUCUCCUUGGCUCUUGCUUAGUUUUUCUGGCUAGCUGAGGCAGAGAAGCUCCCUGGACUGUGGUUUUUUCUUUUAUCUUGGAAUUGUUUGAACCUGCUCUGGACUGAAAACCCAGAGGAGCAGUGGGAGCUCCCACCUGUGGCACACCUGGGCUGUGACAUUUCCCAGUGCCCUGAGAACAGCCUGAGUGAUCUGGGCUGUGACCCACAGAGGGGACUCCUCUGAAUCUGUCAUCUCUUCAGAGCAGCAAGAGAUUUUGUUGUUUAGUAUUGUUCAUUUUUGUGCUGGGGAGUGCUUUGCCUGUUAAAUAAACAGGUUUUUUUCCCACUUCUCUCCGAGAAAACAUUACCCUGAACCAGCUGG
Long non-coding RNA from Oenanthe melanoleuca, 781 nucleotides. RefSeq lists it as uncharacterized. The record is from RefSeq and is a predicted model, not a curated record. NCBI's taxonomy places the organism in Eukaryota, Metazoa, Chordata, Aves, Passeriformes, Muscicapidae. The transcript has 3 exons.